RNAcentral lists this ribosomal RNA (328 nucleotides) under Neophaenognatha jenseni. Its description in RNAcentral is "partial 28S ribosomal RNA". It matches the Rfam family "Eukaryotic large subunit ribosomal RNA", at positions 670 to 965 of the family's 3401-position model. Lineage: Eukaryota; Metazoa; Arthropoda; Insecta; Coleoptera; Scarabaeidae. The record is from RNAcentral.
GGAGUCUAGCAUGUACGCGAGUCAUUGGGACUCUUUAAACCUAAAGGCGUAAUGAAAGUGAAGGUCCGCCUCGCGCGGACCGAGGGAGGAUGAGCGAUCUCGAGGGAUCGCUCCGCACUCCCGGGGCGUCUCGUUCUCAUCGCGAGAAGAGGCGCACCCAGAGCGUACACGCUGGGACCCGAAAGAUGGUGAACUAUGCCUGGUCAGGACGAAGUCAGGGGAAACCCUGAUGGAGGUCCGUAGCGAUUCUGACGUGCAAAUCGAUCGUCGGAACUGGGUAUAGGGGCGAAAGACUAAUCGAACCAUCUAGUACGUGGUUCCNUCCGAA